RNAcentral lists this ribosomal RNA (253 nucleotides) under uncultured bacterium. RNAcentral describes it as "partial 16S ribosomal RNA". It matches the Rfam family "Bacterial small subunit ribosomal RNA", at positions 524 to 776 of the family's 1533-position model. The record is from RNAcentral.
UACGGGGGGGGCAAGCGUUGUUCGGAAUUACUGGGCGUAAAGGGCUCGUAGGCGGCCAACUAAGUCAGACGUGAAAUCCCUCGGCUUAACCGGGGAACUGCGUCUGAUACUGGAUGGCUUGAAUCCGGGAGAGGGAUGCGGAAUUCCAGGUGUAGCGGUGAAAUGCGUAGAUAUCUGGAGGAACACCGGUGGCGUAGGCGGCAUCCUGGACCGGCAUUGACGCUGAGGAGCGAAAGCCAGGGGAGCAAACGGG